Patiria miniata (bat star) is the source of this 306-nucleotide long non-coding RNA. RefSeq lists it as uncharacterized. The record is from RefSeq and is a predicted model, not a curated record. The transcript is spliced from 3 exons. NCBI's taxonomy places the organism in Eukaryota, Metazoa, Echinodermata, Asteroidea, Valvatida, Asterinidae.
ACCACUUAGAAACCGCGAUUUGAAGCCAUCUACAAUUUUCGGGCCAACUUGUGAUUCUAAUGACGUCAUCAUGGCUAACUGUAUGUUGCCUGAGUUGGACACUGGAGAGUUUGUCUUGUUCCAUGAUAUGGGAGGCUAUACCGCUACGUGUGCAUGCGAUUUUAACGGUUUCAGCCUGCCGCCAACGUGGUACAUUGCACCCAAAGAGAUCCGACUCGUUCUGGAGAAGACUUUUCCAGCACAAUAUACUUUUGGUUUAGGCUUAAGCCAGAAGUCAGUUCCCGAGUGAAAGUCUGACGUUGCAAU